GCCUUGAUGGUGAAAUGGUAGACACGCGAGAUUCAAAAUCUCGUGCUAUAAAGCAUGGAGGUUCGAGUCCUCUUCAAGGCA
RNAcentral lists this transfer RNA (81 nucleotides) under Isoetes engelmannii (Engelmann's quillwort). RNAcentral describes it as "tRNA-Leu". It matches the Rfam family "tRNA". From Rfam's summary of the family: Transfer RNA (tRNA) molecules are approximately 80 nucleotides in length. The record is from RNAcentral. RNAcentral also lists the same sequence under 38 other names. Lineage: Eukaryota; Viridiplantae; Streptophyta; Lycopodiopsida; Isoetales; Isoetaceae.